Molecule: unclassified non-coding RNA, 364 nt
Filed under: soil metagenome
Description: partial contains 5.8S ribosomal RNA, internal transcribed spacer 2, and large subunit ribosomal RNA
Rfam family: 5.8S ribosomal RNA (bases 1-120)
Source: RNAcentral
GAUGAAGAACGCAGCGAAAUGCGAUAACUAAUGUGAAUUGCAGAAUUCCGUGAAUCAUCGAGUCUUUGAACGCACAUUGCGCCCCCUGGUAUUCCGGGGGGCAUGCCUGUCCGAGCGUCAUUAACCCUCAAGCCCGGCUUGUGUAAUGGGCGGCCGUCUCUCCCCCCGGGGGGAGACGCCCCCGAAACUCAGUGGGGAUGUCGCGAUACCGAAGCCUCAGCUAAUGGGUAAACCACAGCUGCAAUGGCCGCGGCCGGCGUCCGCCUUCCACGGUCCGUCCGCCUAGCGCGGGCGGCCUUCUCAAGGUUGACCUCGGAUCAGGUAGGGAUACCCGCUGAACUUAAGCAUAUCAAUAAGCGGAGGA